Lagopus leucura (white-tailed ptarmigan) is the source of this 5550-nucleotide RNA transcript. It is a transcript of the gene named t-complex 11 like 1, with no coding region annotated. Lineage: Eukaryota; Metazoa; Chordata; Aves; Galliformes; Phasianidae. The record is from RefSeq and is a predicted model, not a curated record. The transcript has 11 exons.
CCGCAGCUCCCAGCCUCGCCUCGUUGUGAAGGGCGGGGAAGGCGGCGCCGGGAGGGCUGUGCCGAGCUCUGAAGCGUGUGUCGGGGAGUCGAGUCAUCGCCGUGCUCCAUCUUCAUUUCGUGCCUUGUGGGAGAGAGCGGGAAGAGUGGCUGAGGCCAGUGGAAUGAAACUGAAAGCACCUGUGAAAAUGCUUUGAUUCGAGCGUUUCUCUGCUCCCUUUCACCUGUCACGUAUUAAGUUUUUUGCUUCAGCUGUUGCUGUUGUCUUCCUGUAAUGGCUUCUUUAUUGCCAGAUCUUGCUGCUGGAGCGUUGGCAGUAGCAGACCUUCUGUUGUGUAGGUUGGAGAUCCAGCCCUGCUUGUGCUGUGCUGGUUUGGAUAGCUGAUGCUGUACCCAGAGGGAAGCACAGCGUGCUUUAGAGAAAGGCUGGCGAUGGGACCGCAGCUCUGCACUCACUGGCGCUGCCCUUUGCUGCCUGAGAUGCUCUGUGAGUGCAGAGAGGAUUGGGAGCUCACAGCUGGGACAUCAGUGCUUGUGUGCGUGAGCCAGAGCAGAGGGCUGAUAUGUGCCUCUAACAGUACCUGCGCUGAUGCCUUAGAUUUCUUGCGUAGAUUUAUCCUAUGCUUUUUGUGCUCUACUUUCUUGUCUAAAAUAAAAAUCAUGCAUCUCUGUAGACAAGUGUUGCUGUGUGUCGUUGCCAGACGAUGAUCCUGAGUCAUUGCUGUAGAAGGAAAACAUUUUUUAAAUGCCAAGUCUUCUGGCUGUCUUGUAGAAUCAGAAUGGUGCACUCAUUGAAGCACUGAUGGAGUAGGGUUAGUUCUUACAGCUGUUGUAUGGAGAAAAAAACGUCUGUGCGUUUUAUAUUCCUGUGUGAUUGCUUGUUUAUGUCUGUGUUGCGUCCUCUUGGAUGCAGUCCUUGACACUGCUAAGUGUUUUUCUUCUAGAAGCUACGAGGUGCCUUUGGAAGCUGCAUCUGUUGUUGAGAGCUUCUUUCUUUUGUAUUUGGAAAGUGGUGGUUGCUGGAGAAGUAGGCAGUUGGUGACAGAGGAAGGUGGUGCUUUCCCAGGAGCUUCCUUUUUUUGGAAGGCUUUUCCUGACUCUACUCCAGAGAGCUCAUAUGCUGUCAAACAGCCUUUCCUAAAAUCAAAGUCAGAAUGGUAGCCUCCUGUAUAAUACUGAGUUUUCAGAGGAAACAACUGAAAAUGUCUCAGAAUCCCCACAAGCCGCAUUCAAGCGAAGAAAAGUUGAGUGCCUUGGAGGAUGAUCAAGAGAGCUUGGACAACUCGGAGCAGUCUGUCAGGAAGAGAAUACAACAAAGUGUUCCAGGUUCAUGUGGAGAUGAUACACCAAAGUCUAGCCCUCCUCGGCCCGUGUCAGUGGAAGAGUUAAUGGAAACAGCUAAGGGAGUAACCAACAUGGCACUAGUACACGAGAUUGUUGUUAAUAGAGACUUCCAGAUCAAACCAGCUGAGUUACCAGAACACAGCUUGGAAAAAAAAGUAAGAGAGAUUGUGCACAAAGUUUUCUGGGAUUGUCUGGAAGCUCAGCUGAAGGAAGAGCCACCGACAUACGACCACGCAAUUAAACUGUUGGGAGAAAUUAAAGAGAAUCUUCUGUCUUUUUUACUUCCUGGUCAUACAAGAUUAAGAAACCAGAUUAUGGAAGUUCUUGAUCUGGAUUUGAUAAAACAGGAGGCCAAAAAUGGGGCUCUGGACAUUGCUAAGUUGAUAGAAUUUGUUACUGGAAUGAUGGGGACUCUCUGUGCUCCAGCUCGAGAUGAAGAAAUUAAGAAACUGAAAGAUAUACAUGAAAUAGUUCCUCUCUUCAGAGCAAUUUUCUCUGUGUUAGACCUAAUGAAAAUGGAUAUGGCAAACUUCGCUAUCACUAGUAUUAGGCCAAAAUUAAUGCAGCAGUCUGCUGAAUAUGAAAGAAAGAAGUUUCAGGAGUUUCUUGAGAAACAGCCAAAUUCUUUAGACCUUGUCACAGACUGGUUGCAGGAAGCAGCAGAUGAUCUUGCAAAGCUGAGACAUAAAAAGUUCCCUCCCCCCAGCAGUGCUGUUGGUGCUGCUGGUGGAGCUGCUGCGUUGUGCUCCACUGCCAUACAGAAUCAGGCAUAUCUGAAGCUGUUGAAGUGGGAUCACACAAACAGGCCUUUCCCAGAAACAGUGCUCAUGGACCAGAGGCGCUUUCAGGAAAUACAGCUGGAACUGGAGCAGCUCCUCAUGGCUGGAACUGUCCUUCUGGUCACGUUCAAUGCAGCGGGCGCAGCUCUCAUCGAUGUGCCUGGAUUUGCUGAGAAAAUCAAAACCAUUGUCAGGGUGCUGCUGACAGGAAUGCAUCUCCCCUCCUUUAACCUGAAGGAGUCUUUGGCCACCAUUGGUGAGAAGGUGUGUGCUGAAGUCAACAGCUGCCUUUCCCAGCAUGGCUUUGCACCGUUCACAGCUGAGAAAGAAACUGUGCUGAAAGGACAGAUCCAAGCAGUGGCCAACCCUGAUAACACCAUCUGUAAACUAAUAGAUUCUCGAAUUCAGAAGUUUCUGGAGCAUUGUCUUGCAUCUAGUCACCAGAAAGCGGUGCCGACUGUUCCUGGAGGAUUAGGCCCUAUUCAGAGAGAGCUGGAAGAGAUUGCUGUCAAGUAUGUUCGUCUUGUCAACUACAACAAGAUGGUCUUCAGUCCUUACUACGAUGCUGUUCUUGGCAAAAUACUGACUAAGGAAGAACCCCAGCUUGUAGGGAUGCCGGAGGAAUCGUGAACACAGUUUGUGUACCAAUGCAGUAUUAAUUUUAUCAGCUAUUUUGAAAAAUUGCACCAGUGUUUGUCUAGGAAAACAGCUCUCCAUGUGAAUACUAUUUCCUUUUAAGUCACUCGUGCUGCCCGAUGAGGAAAAUGCGUGAAUUGCAAUAGGGGCUCUGAGAUAAGUGAUGAAGGAGGGAUGCAUUUUUAAUGUAAGUAUACAGCUUUUGUGAGGGAGUGUUGUGGUAGUUUUCUGGCUAUAAGAUUUCCAGGCAGGUGCUAUGUAGGAAAAGUUAAACAGCCAAACUCUGUUCUUAAGUGGUUCAUUUUAGUGUUUUUUAUUCUCAUUUGUCGUGAAUUUGGUUUCACUCAUCCACAGCAGGUUAGCAGUGGUCCUUCCCUGCAGGGAAAUGUGGCUUUUCAAAAAGAUCUUACUUUAAAGACUUCAGUAAGCUAAAACUCUAGGUAGGAGAAACCUUAACAGGCGAAAAACAAAGCCAAACAGCACUUACUGUAUCAUUAUGGUUGGUGUGGUAGGCUACUAAGUUUUUCUUUCAGCAUUUUUCUGCAUUUUUAAUAGGUUUUUUUUUUGCUGUUUACCUGCAGAUGUUACAGAAACAGAGUGUAUUUUUGUAGCAAAUUUUCUGGUUAUUGGGUAACUGUCCUCUGCUUUGUACAGUACUUAACAAGGUGGCAAUCUUACAGAUUGCAGCUGUAUUUAUCUCCUGUAAAGACUUCAGAAAGGCAGAGCUAAAAUGUUUUGAUAAAAGUGGCGUUUCUUACCUUUUUUUUGCUAGUAGUUUACUCCUUUUUAUGUGAAAUACUGAUUUUGAAGUUAAUCUGUGCCAUUUACAGAAGGUGGACUUUAAGUGUGUUAAACUUUAGGACAAAACUUCUACUUGUUUUUUAAAACUACUAUUUGAGAUGGGUGCAUUUUCAGUCAUGUCUUCAAAGAUAUCCAGGAGGUGCAGAGCACUAUUAGAAGUGCGAGUGAGUUUAAAUUGUAGUGGGAAGUGCAUUAUUUAAUAUUAGUUUGAAUACGCAAGGAAUGUUUUUAAUAGAAGAUUUUAUUCUUUUUUACAUUACAGAGAUGAUUUUAAAACCUUAAAUAUUUAAGGUCUUCAAUUUCAUUAGUUAUGUGUUGUAUAGACGAGGGUUCACAGAAGAGCUCAGUGAUCUUACAGCCUUAUUGCAGUUUUAAACUCAGCUAGGAGCUCUCCAGCCUGUCCAGGUCUUGCUGAAUGGCAACACAGCCUUCAGGUGUGUCAGCCAAUCCUCCUAACAUCGUAUCAUCAGCAAUAUCAUCAAUAUCAUCAGCAAUAUCAUCAGCAAUCAGGAUACUACAGAGGUCUUCAAGGUUUCUGCAGCUCCUUACUGUACUUUGUUAUUAGUCCGGAAUCCAUCUUGAAAUACAGUCUCUAGCUCUGGAGCUGCAAAAAAAUUAAUUCAGUAGUCUGGGUAAUACAGGCACUACCCAAAACAUGUUUGCAGUUUAAAAAACAAUACAAAACAGACAAACCUGUUUUCCUUUUUGCAAUUGAGAGUUGCUGAAGUUUAGAACCGAAUGCUGUUAUUUUACUAUUCCCCAGAGGCUUCUUUUAAAGGCCUCCAAACUAAGCAUAGGACAAGCAGUUGGAUGUUGUGAGGUGCUGGUCUCAGGGAUGCAGGGAAGAACAGCGCAGUGUUUAGAAAAGCAUGUGACUGAUGGCAGAAUGAGUGGGACUGAGUUAUGGGCAGGUAAGGUGGUACUUACUGGAGUGCUCCCAGUCUGUGACUGCCUACUCCAGCCUACUGUGACAUGGAAGCACAGACUGUGCUGCUGCUCAUGCACGUGUACUGCUCACAGGGUAUAUCCAGUAAGUUCAUCUCUUCUCUCAGUAGGGAUCUGUCCUGGGCUUAGCAUAGGAAAAAAUGCAGUGCUCACACCUGGCUCUGGGCUUGCCUUUGGAGGUUACACACUGGAAACCUGGAGUGCCUCUGUUUCUUUAAGCUUCUGUAGGCCUGGCAACUGGAAAAGAUCUAAAAGAGGCUGUAAGAGGUUCCCACGAAAAAUCACAUUAGUGACUUUUCCCUGGUCACUGUUUAAUGAUUGUCAUUGACAAAUAGUUUCUCUGCAUUGUCUUUAAAAGCAAUAGGCAGAUGUAAUUAAGUGACAGAGCAAAAAAAAAGGUAGGAUUGAUAUGGCUGCUGUACCUUACCUCUAUGUCAGUAUUCAUACAUGCGCUGUUCCAUCUUUUCUUUCUGGUAGAUAGGAGCAAUGACCUACAGUUAUCUCUACUGCUGGUGGUGGGAAUGUCCUUCAGCUUGUCUGAGUACCUGAAUUCCCUGUCCAUCGUGGGUGUUCUUACAGUCUCAGGAGAGCACAGCCCUGAAUAGUCCAUUACAAGUUAAAAUCUAAAGUAUAUAUAGUAACUGCUUCAAAAGUUCAUAUGGCUUUUCUUUUUUUAUUAGCUCAUUUAAAAGUAACCAGUUAACCUCAGUAGCUAAUAUAUUAACACUUAAUCAUGUGCAAGCUAAGUGGAGGACUAAUGCAGGUGUCCAGGAACAGGCUGCAGUGGCUAGUACUCCCGGCCAGCCCACGUUACAGACCUGUAACUGGUCUGUGUUACAUUGGUAACUUCUUUAAACAGUCCUGGAAUUCAAAGUAAAGGAAUACUGUUUCCUCUAGAGAAACUGAACAGAAAGCUAAUUCCUGUAUGUACGCUCUGAUCAAUUUCCUGUGAUGGUUUUAAUUCUUGGUAACAUUGCUUUCAAAGUUGCUGAGUAGUAUUUAAAAAGUAAUUUGUUGUGUUUGAAUAAAAGCAGAAUGAGGCAUGA